GUUAUCGGUCAAUUUUUUUUGGCCGUCCCAUUGGUAUAAAAAGCUGCACUUUCUUUUCGGUCCGACAGAAAUCAAGUUAAAUUGUAAUGGAUCUGCGUAUAUUCACACUUCUCUUUGCUUUAUGCGGUUGGCUGCACAUUCCAGAAGCAAAUGCUGAAGAGUGUUCUCUGCAUCAAGUAAUAAAGACGGGUGAAAAGUACGAUAUACGGACUCCCCUAUAUCCAGACUUCUACAGAACGCCACCUAUUUGCAGGUGGCAUGCACAUGCACAGGGGUCAGAUAACGUAAUUGACCUCCAAUGCUCAAUUGAUAUUCCAUUCGGGGGACCCAAUUGCAGGUACAGUUACCUUAUGGUGUUCGACGACAAUUCUCCUGACUCUCCAAUGGUUUUCUGUGGAUUUUCUAAAUACCAUAGAAUUAGAAUGUCAUCGAGAUAUGCCCAUAUAAUAUUUUCCGGGUUCGGAAAAAUUUAUUGUGAAGUAACGGCUGUGCGAGCUUCGACUCCUUCCGAAGAGACCUAAAGUCUAAUACUUCCCUUCAAAAUACAAGAGCAUUAAAAACUAAAA
Long non-coding RNA from Drosophila ficusphila, 566 nucleotides. RefSeq lists it as uncharacterized. The transcript has 3 exons. The record is from RefSeq and is a predicted model, not a curated record. Lineage: Eukaryota; Metazoa; Arthropoda; Insecta; Diptera; Drosophilidae.